AUGGGAGCUAUGGAUGGUGGUCUUGAUCUUCCGCACAGUGACAAGAGAUUUGCUGGCUUCAUGAAGGAUAAGAAGCAGCUGGGCGCGGGCGCUGAGAUUCACCUCAAAUACAUCUAUGAAGGUCAUGUUGCUGACUACAUGAAGUCAAUAGCUGAUGAGAAACCUAAGAAGUACCAAUCUCACUUCAGUGAGUACAUCAAGAAGAACUGA
Molecule: ribosomal RNA, 210 nt
Filed under: Triticum aestivum (bread wheat)
Lineage: Eukaryota; Viridiplantae; Streptophyta; Magnoliopsida; Poales; Poaceae
Description: partial small subunit ribosomal RNA
Source: RNAcentral